GAUGAACGCUGGCGGCGUGCCUAAUACAUGCAAGUCGAGCGAAUGGAUUAAGAGCUUGCUCUUAUGAAGUCAGCGGCGGACGGGUGAGUAACACGUGGGUAACCUGCCCAUAAGACUGGGAUAACUCCGGGAAACCGGGGCUAAUACCGGAUAACAUUUUGAACCGCAUGGGUCGAAAUUGAAAGGCGGCUUCGGCUGGCACUUAUGGAUGGACCCGCGUAGCAUUAGCUAGUUGGUGAGGUAACGGCUCACCAAGGCAACGAUGAGUAGCCGACCUGAGAGGGUGAUCGGCCACACUGGGACUGAGACACGGCCCAGACCGCUACGGGAGGCAGCAGUAGGGAAUCUUCCGCAAUGGACGAAAGUCCGACGGAGCAACGCCGCGUGAGUGAUGAAGGCUUUCGGGUCGUAAAACUCUGUUGUUAGGGAAGAACAAGUGCUAGUUGAAUAAGCUGGCACCUUGACGGUACCUAACCAGAAAGCCACGGCUAACUACGUGCCAGCCGCCGCGGUAA
RNAcentral lists this ribosomal RNA (515 nucleotides) under uncultured bacterium. RNAcentral describes it as "partial 16S ribosomal RNA". It matches the Rfam family "Bacterial small subunit ribosomal RNA", at positions 28 to 523 of the family's 1533-position model. The record is from RNAcentral.